RNAcentral lists this ribosomal RNA (863 nucleotides) under Naganishia albidosimilis. RNAcentral's name for it is "partial large subunit ribosomal RNA". It matches the Rfam family "Eukaryotic large subunit ribosomal RNA", at positions 41 to 930 of the family's 3401-position model. Lineage: Eukaryota; Fungi; Basidiomycota; Tremellomycetes; Filobasidiales; Filobasidiaceae. The record is from RNAcentral.
UAUCAAUAAGCGGAGGAAAAGAAACCAACAGGGAUUGCUCUAGUAACGGCGAGUGAAGCAGCAAUAGCUCAAAUUUGAAAUCUGGCGUCUUCGGCGUCCGAGUUGUAAUUUGUAGAGGAUGCUUCUGGGCAGCCACCGACCUAAGUUCCUUGGAACAGGACGUCAUAGAGGGUGAGAAUCCCGUAUGCGGUCGGAAAGGCACCCUACACGUAGCUCCUUCGACGAGUCGAGUUGUUUGGGAAUGCAGCUCUAAAUGGGAGGUAAAUUUCUUCUAAAGCUAAAUAUUGGCCAGAGACCGAUAGCGCACAAGUAGAGUGAUCGAAAGAUGAAAAGCACUUUGGAAAGAGAGUUAAAAAGCACGUGAAAUUGUUGAAAGGGAAGGGAUUGCAACCAGACUUGCUCGCGGUGUUCCGCCGGUCUUCUGACCGGUCUACUCGCCGCGUUGCAGGCCAGCAUCGUCUGGUGCCGCUGGAUAAGACUUGAGGAAUGUAGCUCCCUCGGGAGUGUUAUAGCCUCUUGUGAUGCAGCGAGCGCCGGGCGAGGUCCGCGCUUCGGCUAGGAUGCUGGCGUAAUGGUUGUAAUCCGCCCGUCUUGAAACACGGACCAAGGAGUCUAACAUCUAUGCGAGUGUUCGGGUGUCAAACCCCUACGCGUAAUGAAAGUGAACGGAGGUGAGAACCGCAAGGUGCAUCAUCGACCGAUCCUGAUGUCUUCGGAUGGAUUUGAGUAUGAGCAUAGCUGUUGGGACCCGAAAGAUGGUGAACUAUGCCUGAAUAGGGUGAAGCCAGAGGAAACUCUGGUGGAGGCUCGCAGCGGUUCUGACGUGCAAAUCGAUCGUCAAAUUUGGGUAUAGGGGCGAAAGA